This 1963-nucleotide unclassified non-coding RNA is filed under the name Hevea brasiliensis (rubber tree). The record is from RNAcentral. Lineage: Eukaryota; Viridiplantae; Streptophyta; Magnoliopsida; Malpighiales; Euphorbiaceae.
GUGCUUCGUCGCGUUUACCGUGCUGUGCUGGUCGGCAACGGCCUCCUUUCUCUCUUUUUGGCUCACCAAGUUUAUGAAAUCUUUCCAAACUCUAGUACUCCUCUCGCUUCCCUAUUCAAUCUUUCUCUUUCUAAUUUCAUUUUUGUUAUGGAAAAUUAAGGAAAUCUUUUCCAAAUUCAGUAGCUGGCUGCAGAUUUUGAGAUUCCUGUUCUCAUUCUCCCCUUUUUUUUCCCAGUUGAUUGCUCAAAAAUCAAAAUUGCUGGUAACGAUGAGGGACUUUCGCGUUUGGGACUUUUAGUGUAUUGUUUUGGGAUCCCAUCAAUUGUACUGAUGGUGACUUCGAUUGCUGAAGGCUUUUUAAUAACCCAAUCUUAGUUCAUCUUGAAUUUGAUAUAAGGGCAAGUGUAUAUAGAGGAUAUUCUUGUGUAAUUGCUUUCAGACAUUACUGUGAGUUUGGUUUUGCUGUGUGGGGUAAAAAAUGGUUGCAAAUUCUUUAGCUCCGGUUUCAACAUGCCCUGUUGCGUUAUCUUCUUCAUUGAUUAUUGUUCCGCCUGGUUCUUCAAGCUUCUUGCCUUGUCUUCCAUUGAGGCAACGAAAGCGGCUCAUGCGGGUAAGAGCUAUGUCAGCAGAUGCAGGACAUGGCCAAGCUGCUUCUUCUUCCUCUUCUUCAGAGAAAAAGAAUCCACUUGCAGUUGUUUUAGAGGUUCCUCAAAGUAUUUGGAGGCAAACGUUGAAGCCAUUGAGUGAUUUUGGGUUUGGAAGGAGGAGCAUUUGGGAAGGUGGGGUGGGUUUGUUUCUUGUGUCAGGUGCAGUCCUCCUUGCUCUUAGUUUGGCUUGGUUGAGGGGUUUUCAGUUACGCUCCAAGUUCAGGAAGUAUGUGGCUGUAUUUGAGUUUGCUCAAGCUUGUGGUAUUUGCACAGGAACCCCAGUUAGGAUUAGAGGGGUAACUGUUGGCAAUGUCAUCCAAGUUAAUCCUUCCUUGAGAAGUAUUGAAGCAGUUGUUGAGGUUGAAGAUGAUAAGAUAAUCAUACCUAGAAAUUCGCUGAUUGAGGUGAAUCAGUCAGGUCUUCUUAUGGAAACAUUGAUUGAUAUUACCCCUAAAGAUCCAAUUCCAUUGCCUUCUGUGGGACCUCUCGAUGGUGAAUGUGUUAAAGAAGGUUUAAUUGUAUGUGAUAGGCAGAAGAUAAAGGGGCAUCAAGGAGUAAGUUUGGAUGCAUUGGUUGGGAUAUUCACCCGGCUCGGACGUGAAAUGGAGGAAAUUGGUGUUUCUAAAAGCUAUUCAUUGGCUGAGCGUGUUGCUGCUGUUAUUGAAGAGGCAAAGCCACUGCUUACAAAGAUUCAGGAAAUGGCUGAAGAUGUUCAACCUUUGCUAUCUGAGGUUCGUGAUAAAGGUCUCCUUAAGGAAGUUGAGAAUUUGACCAGAAGCCUAACACAAGCCUCUGAAGAUCUGAGAAAGGCACAUACAUCAAUUAUGACCCCAGAGAACACUGAGCUGAUUCAGAAGUCCGUAUACAGUCUGAUAUUUACUUUGAAAAACCUUGAGAAUAUAAGCUCUGAUAUUCUUGGAUUCACGGGUGAUGAGGCUACAAGAAAGAACUUGAAAGCACUUAUCAAGUCUCUCAGUAGGAUGUUAUGAAGACGAGUGAAAGAUGAAAAUAGCUCGGUAGGUUUUAAGGUUGAUUAGAUGCUGGAAAUGGUUUCUUUCAAUAUCAAAGAGAAGAGAAACCAAUUCUGGAUCUUACAGGUCUCGAUUUUGAAUAGAGGGUGCUUCUUGUAUUCUUUUGAAUCAAAUUCUGUUGGAUGUUCAGAGAAGCUUUUCAAUAGAAGCUCCCUCUAUUCAAAAUCGAGACCUGUAAGAUCCAGAAUUGGUUUCUCUUCUCUUUGAUAUUGAAAGAAACCAUUUCCAGCAUCUAAUCAACCUUAAAACCUACCGAGCUAUUUUCAUCUUUCACUCGUCUUCAUA